Molecule: ribosomal RNA, 514 nt
Filed under: uncultured bacterium
Lineage: Bacteria
Description: bacterial SSU rRNA
Rfam family: Bacterial small subunit ribosomal RNA
Source: RNAcentral
GGUCCAAACUCCUACGGGAGGCAGCAGUGAGGAAUAUUGGUCAAUGGGCGCUAGCCUGAACCAGCCGAGUAGCGUGAAGGAUGACUGCCCUAUGGGUUGUAAACUUCUUUUAUAUGGGAAUAAAGUGCAGUAUGUAUACUGCUUUGCAUGUACCUUAUGAAUAAGGAUCGGCUAACUCCGUGCCAGCAGCCGCGGUAAUACGGAGGAUCCGAGCGUUAUCCGGAUUUAUUGGGUUUAAAGGGAGCGUAGGCGGGUUGUUAAGUCAGUUGUGAAAGUUUGCGGCUCAACCGUAAAAUUGCAGUUGAUACUGGCAUCCUUGAGUACAGUAGAGGUAGGCGGAAUUCGUGGUGUAGCGGUGAAAUGCUUAGAUAUCACGAAGAACUCCGAUUGCGAAGGCAGCCUGCUGGACUGUAACUGACGCUGAUGCUCGAAAGUGUGGGUAUCAAACAGGAUUAGAUACCCUGGUAGUCCACACAGUAAACGAUGAAUACUCGCUGUUUGCGAUAUACAGUAA